ACUCCAGUAGCUUAAACAACAAAGCAUUGGUCUUGUAAACCAAAGAAUGAAGACCCAACAACCUUCCUAGAGUA
Molecule: transfer RNA, 74 nt
Filed under: Rafetus swinhoei (Swinhoes soft-shelled turtle)
Lineage: Eukaryota; Metazoa; Chordata; Testudines; Trionychidae
Description: tRNA-Thr
Rfam family: tRNA
About the family: Transfer RNA (tRNA) molecules are approximately 80 nucleotides in length. Their secondary structure includes four short double-helical elements and three loops (D, anti-codon, and T loops).
Source: RNAcentral